This 766-nucleotide long non-coding RNA is filed under the name Marmota monax (woodchuck). The record is from RNAcentral. Lineage: Eukaryota; Metazoa; Chordata; Mammalia; Rodentia; Sciuridae.
GCAACUCCAUUGUAAAAACUCCAGUUUGAAACCUGCAGUCUCACCAGGCAUGCCUAACAGAGCCCACCAGUAUGGCUUCAAACAAGUCACUUCCCAUCACCCUAAUAAACAGAGUGAAGCCUCUGGUAGGCUGUCCUCACCUGAUAAGAGGAAGGUGAGAAAAUUAGGGUGGAGACCACCAGACCAGAUGUUUCUGACCCCAGGGUAAAUGAUAUCAUGAAGAAAUCUGGUGGUAGCUGUUAAGGAUUGAAAUGAGGAUCAAAAGCCCCAAAAUUUAGUAUAAAUAAUAGAGCUAAUGAAUAGGAAUUCAGCCAGCGAAACAAGGAUGCACUUGAGCUGGAGAGCCUAAUGAGGACCUGGACUGACAUCCCAUCGUUUGUCAUCAUUUUCCUGAUCCUCUGAAUGAUCCUCACCGCUCUCAAACUCUACCUUCUCGUCUGGACCCAGGUGAGAGCCGCAACUUCUCCCUACAACCCUUUCUUCAACCAGUCGUCCACUCCACCAGGAAAAGCCUGCCUUGGUCCCGGACCUGGUCACCACAGUCUGAGUGAGUGUGCAUCUGCUGGACUUAAAGCCUAAGACUUAAAACUUUUGAUCUGACUUUUGAACUUAGCAUGCACAGGGAAUGUCUGUCAUUAGCCUGUCAUGAUUAAGUGUGUUUGCAAUGCUUAGAAUUAAUCUAGAAUUGUUUGCUAGGAAUUAAUUAAUCUAGAACUGUUUGCUGUGAAUUGAUUAUGUCUAUUGCAGUACCUAGCAUUAAAGAUUG